RNAcentral lists this ribosomal RNA (496 nucleotides) under uncultured bacterium. Its description in RNAcentral is "partial 16S ribosomal RNA". It matches the Rfam family "Bacterial small subunit ribosomal RNA", at positions 29 to 507 of the family's 1533-position model. The record is from RNAcentral.
AUGAACGCUGGCGGCGUGCCUAAUACAUGCAAGUCGAGCGAACAGACGAGGAGCUUUCUCCUCUGACGUUAGCGGCGUACGGUUUAUUAACACGUGGAUAACCUACCUAUAUGACUGGGAUAACUUCGGGAAACCGGAGCUAAUACCGGAUAAUAUAUUUAACCUCAUGGUUCAAUAGUGAAAGACGGUUUUGCUUUCACUUAUAGAUGGAUCCGCGCCGCAUUAGCUAGUUGGUAAGGUAACGGCUUACCAAGGCAACGAUGCGUAGCCGACCUGAGAGGGUGAUCGGCCACACGGGAACUGAGACACGGACCAGAAUACUACGGGAGGCAGCAGUAGGGAAUAUACCGCAAGGGGCGAAAGCCUGACGGAGCAACGGCGCGGGAGAGAUGAAGGUAUUCGGAUCGUAAAACUCUGUUAUUAGGGAAGAACAAAAGUGUAAGUAACUAGGCACGUCUUGACGGUAACUAAUCAGAAAGCCACGGCUAACUACGUG